UCUGACCCAAGCAUGGCAAAGACAUUGAAUUUGCAAAACAGUACAAAACCCACCAACUUUUUGGCCGAAGACUCCUGAAUACUUUAUGUGCUCCCUGGAACUUGGCUUCUGCAGGACUCUUUAAAAUCGGAUAGUCCUGACUAACUGCAUUCUGUGCCUGAAGAACAGCUCUGACUGAAGGGAAGUGUUAAUGCAGUGAUAGAUGACUAGAACAUCUGUUAUCAACUUAUAUGAAUUUGAAAUCAUGACUUCUGUUGGAGAUAUUCUUUAUCCUAUUUUCCUUCUUUAAUAAUAUAUUUGGAACCAUCAUGAGGCCAAAUUGUGAAGCAGAGACUCACAGCUAAGACUUUGCCUGGGGUCUCAGAGGAAAUUUUGACCUGGAAUUUUAAAUAAUGCUGAAACUGUGGAGACCUUGAAGAAGACAUUAUUGUGUUUUUAUUUAUAUGCAAGGUAGCUGUAUAAUGUUGAAAUUAUUAACUUAUUAUGGUGUUUAUUUGGAUAUUAAAUUUGGUUGAAGGAGAUGUAUUUAGAUUAACAAAGUCCAGGGGAUUAUUAAAGGACACUUUCUGUAUGUUUUUGGAUGCAUCACGGGUUGUUAAAUUGAGUACUACUUAUGGUCCUGGCUCUGUUUCCUUUGGAAAAUUUCCCCUACCCUUUCACCAUGAACUUACCAGAUUUGUUUCACCCUACUCUCUUGGCAUGGUGUUUCUUCUUUGAAGUUAUCUGAUCAUGGACUGACUCUCCUGAAACUAUAGUCAUUAAAUUAAACUUUACUUCCUUUAGGUUGUAGAUAUUAAGUAUUGUGUUCCAGAAUGAGAAAACUGGCUAAUAUAGAGUACCAAUCUAAUACUUAGUAAUUGAAUUUCUUCUUUGUAAUAUAUUAUUUUUAUGCUGAUAUAUUA
Long non-coding RNA from Heterocephalus glaber (naked mole-rat), 902 nucleotides. RefSeq lists it as uncharacterized. The record is from RefSeq and is a predicted model, not a curated record. Lineage: Eukaryota; Metazoa; Chordata; Mammalia; Rodentia; Bathyergidae.